AGUGAACGCUGGCGGCAGGCCUAACACAUGCAAGUCGAACGGCAGCACAAGAGCGCUUGCUCUCUGGGUGGCGAGUGGCGGACGGGUGAGGAAUGCAUCGGAAUCUGCCCAUUUGUGGGGGAUAACCUCGGGAAACCGGGACUAAUACCGCAUACGACCUACGGGUGAAAGCAGGGGAUCUUCGGACCUUGCGCAGAUGGAUGAGCCGAUGCCGGAUUAGCUAGUUGGAGGGGUAAAGGCCCACCAAGGCGACGAUCCGUAGCUGGUCUGAGAGGAUGAUCAGCCACACUGGGACUGAGACACGGCCCAGACUCCUACGGGAGGCAGCAGUGGGGAAUAUUGGACAAUGGGCGCAAGCCUGAUCCAGCCAUGCCGCGUGUGUGAAGAAGGCCUUCGGGUUGUAAAGCACUUUUGUUGGGAAAGAAAAGCAGCCGGUUAAUACCCGGUUGUCAUGACGGCACCCAAAGAAUAAGCACCGGCUAACUUCGUG
Molecule: ribosomal RNA, 490 nt
Filed under: uncultured bacterium
Lineage: Bacteria
Description: partial 16S ribosomal RNA
Rfam family: Bacterial small subunit ribosomal RNA
Source: RNAcentral